This 104-nucleotide microRNA precursor is filed under the name Marmota monax (woodchuck). The record is from RNAcentral. Lineage: Eukaryota; Metazoa; Chordata; Mammalia; Rodentia; Sciuridae.
AGAGAAAAUAGCUGGGUCAAAUGGUGGUUUCAUUCCCAAUUUUCUAAAGAAUCUCCAUACUGCUUUCCAGAUUGGCUGCACCAAUUUGCAGUCCCACAAGCAAU